GCCUCUAUGGCACAGGGGUAAUGCGUGUCACUCGUACAGUUCCUACUUGCGAUGUUAUGACAAGAUCCGCGGUUCGAUUCCGCGUGGAGGCA
RNAcentral lists this transfer RNA (92 nucleotides) under Xylaria arbuscula. RNAcentral describes it as "tRNA-Thr". It matches the Rfam family "tRNA". Rfam says of the family: Transfer RNA (tRNA) molecules are approximately 80 nucleotides in length. Their secondary structure includes four short double-helical elements and three loops (D, anti-codon, and T loops). The record is from RNAcentral. Lineage: Eukaryota; Fungi; Ascomycota; Sordariomycetes; Xylariales; Xylariaceae.